RNAcentral lists this long non-coding RNA (1733 nucleotides) under Vitis vinifera (wine grape). RNAcentral's name for it is "long non-coding RNA (VVIN_LNC004969)". The record is from RNAcentral. Lineage: Eukaryota; Viridiplantae; Streptophyta; Magnoliopsida; Vitales; Vitaceae.
GUUCAUCCAUAGGACUUUACAAAUAUGAGGAUUUAAAUAGGAUUUAGUAAGAGAAAUAAAAAUGCAUAAAGAGUGAAGAGAUAUAAGCAAAGGGUGUAUUAAAUUUUAAGUAAAAAAAGAUUGAAAAAAUUUGAAGUUGUUGGGCUAUGUUUGUCUGGCCCAUGAGCCCAUAUAUUAGGCUAUUUUAUAUUUAGGUUUUUCCUAAGGCCAAAUAUGGAUAUAAAAAUAGCAUUAGGGCUUUGGUAUUAAGAGAAAAGGGCAUUUGAUUGAGAAAAGGAAAGAAGAUCAGGAUUUGUUUUUUUGGGCACUGUUCUAAGGCUCAAGGGUGAAGUUACAAGUUCCUUUCAUCAACCUUUUUGGGGAAUUCCUAUGGUACGUUUUCUCCCUAAUUUCUUUCUGUUCAUGUUUCAUUCGGUGAUGGAUUCCUACCUUAAGUGAGGACUUAAUUAUUGUAUCCCUAUUUAUUGAAGUAGAAGAAAUUUUCUCAUUGGUUUUUUACCUCUAUUCAAAGGGUUUUUCCACGUUAUAUUUGGUAUCCUCUUUUGUGGUUGAAUGUUAUUGAUUGUCAUUCUUGACUCUUCUUAAGUUGUUAUUAUUCUUGAGAGGUGGUUAUUAUUGUUGAGUGGUUGUUAUUCUUGUGGAAGAAUCUUUUAACUUUGGUAGGUUAAUACUCUAGAUCUCUCCCUUUAUUUUCCCAACAAGUGGUAUCAGAGCUUGGUUGUGGAACUUUUAUUCUUGAAAGGGAUGGAGAUAAAAGGGAACUCAACCUUCAUGAUAAAACUUAACAAUUCAAAUUAGGCUAUGUGGAAGUCCAUGAUGGAUGAUUUUCUCAGCAAAGUUUGACAAAACACACGGAUGAAUGCCGAACAAAGAUGAUGAAAAUGGAAGUACUCCAACAACCAGCAAGCAUAUAUGAGCAUAUGCAUCAUUCAAGUUGUUCUAUUUUAUUUCUAUAUAUAUUACAAAGUGUAGAAGUCCACCAGGGCACAAACUGUGAUGAAUGGAGAAAAAGAAUACACGAAUGACAUACAACCGAUUUGUGUUAUUAUUAUUUUUUCUAUGAGAAGGAAAAUAUAUAAAAUAAAAGAACAAAAACAACAAAUGAAAGGCCUACAUAUUUAGUUUAUUCCUUGUGGUCCCUUUAAAGUCCUAAAAUACGUAGUUAUGUGCUCAGGACUCGUAAGAUUUUCUCAUGUUGAGUGAUGACUAUGCAUGGUGGAGGCUAGAGCUUCAUUUAUGUUCAGUAGCCAUGACAACAGGAGUGCUGGCAUGCGAACUGGCUCUAUGGGGAGGAAUGGCAUGACCCGCAAACUUCAUUCCAUUGGGACAAGGUGAGCCUUUUUCGGGGAUAUGGCCGCAUGAACUUGGUCCUGAAGGAGGGACAGGUCCUGAAAGCAUAGAUUUCAAAGGAACAAUCCUUAUCUUCAUCCACUCUUCUUUCUCUCCAUCAAGAACCCUACUAGCACUGUGGGGUUGGAUACUCAGAAUAAAAACAACUGCUGUGACAGCUAAAACAAUUUUGAAAAAUCUCAUGAUGAUCUUGGAUGGGUUAAGCAAACAGGAGAUGAUCAGAUAGAGCAAUAUUUUUAUGUGAGCAAUAUGAAGAUAUAUGGAGGAGAACGAUCACCGGUUAUUUAUAUGAAUACUGCCAUUGGCAUGACUAGAGUUUUUGGUAGUUUGGCUUAGUUGAAGGGUUUUUUUUACUCUUGACUAAUAGAAUUUUACUGUAGGAG